CCUACGGGUGGCAGCAGUGAGGAAUAUUGGUCAAUGGCCGGAAGGCUGAACCAGCCAUGCCGCGUGAAGGGCAGGGACCUAAGGGCGUUAAACUUCUUUUGUGCGGGAGCAAUAAUGGUCACGUGUGGCCAGACGAGAGUACCGUACGAAUAAGCAUCGGCUAACUCCGUGCCAGCAGCCGCGGUUAUACGGGGGGUGCAAGCGUUAUCCGGAUUUAGUGGGUUUAAAGGGUGCGUAGGCUGUGAGGUAAGUCAGCGGGGAAAUGCCCCCGCUCAACGGGGGGAAGUGCCAUUGAUAAUGCCUUGCUGGAGUGCGGAUGCGGUGGGAGGAAUGUGUGGUGUAGCGGUGAAAUGCAUAGAUAUCACACAGAACACCGAUUGCGAAGGCAUCUCACGAAUCCGCGAUUGACGCUGAUGCACGAAAGCGUGGGUAUCAAACAGGAUUAGAUACCCCAGUAGUC
RNAcentral lists this ribosomal RNA (460 nucleotides) under uncultured bacterium. RNAcentral describes it as "partial 16S ribosomal RNA". It matches the Rfam family "Bacterial small subunit ribosomal RNA", at positions 338 to 795 of the family's 1533-position model. The record is from RNAcentral.